RNAcentral lists this unclassified non-coding RNA (291 nucleotides) under uncultured fungus. RNAcentral's name for it is "partial contains 5.8S ribosomal RNA, internal transcribed spacer 2, and large subunit ribosomal RNA". The stretch from base 1 to 52 matches the Rfam family "5.8S ribosomal RNA", at positions 103 to 154 of the family's 154-position model. Lineage: Eukaryota; Fungi. The record is from RNAcentral.
AACGCACCUUGCGCUCCUUGGUAUUCCGAGGAGCAUGCCUGUUUGAGUGUCAUUAAUAUAUCAACCUCUUCAACUUUUGUUUGUCGGGUGUUGGAUUUGGGGGUCUUUUUUGCUGGCCCUAAGGUCAGCUCCCCUGAAAUGCAUUAGCAGAACAAUUUGUGAACCGUUCAUUGGUGUGAUAACUAUCUACGCUGUUGACGUGAAACAAGUUCAGCUUCUAACAGUCCAUUGACUUGGACAACUUUUCAUUAAUGUGACCUCAAAUCAGGUAGGACUACCCGCUGAACUUAA